This 778-nucleotide ribosomal RNA is filed under the name uncultured bacterium. RNAcentral describes it as "bacterial SSU rRNA". It matches the Rfam family "Bacterial small subunit ribosomal RNA", at positions 61 to 832 of the family's 1533-position model. The record is from RNAcentral.
GUCGAACGAGAGACCUUCGGGUCUCUAGUGGCGAACGGGUGAGUAACACGUAGGGAACCUGCCCGUGCACCGGGAAUACGCUCUGGAAACGGAGAACAAAUCCCGAUGUACAGGAAGGAGGCAUCUUCUUUCUGUGAAACAUCCUUUAGGGGAUGGGGCGCGGAUGGACCUGCGGUGCAUUAGUUGGUUGGCGGGGUAAAGGCCCACCAAGACGAUGAUGCAUAGCCGGCCUGAGAGGGCGGACGGCCACAUUGGGACUGAGACACGGCCCAGACUCCUGCGGGAGGCAGCAGUAGGGAAUUUUCGUCAAUGGGCGCAAGCCUGAACGAGCGAUGCCGCGUGAGUGAAGAAGGCCUUCGGGUCGUAAAGCUCUGUUGCGGGGGAAAAAAGGCAGCAUCAGGAAAUGGGUGCUGACUGAUGGUGCCCCGCCAGAAAGUCACGGCUAACUACGUGCCAGCAGCCGCGGUAAUACGUAGGUGGCGAGCGUUAUCCGGAAUGAUUGGGCGUAAAGGGUGCGCAGGCGGUCCUGCAAGUCUGGAGUGAAACGCAUGAGCUCAACUCAUGCAUGGCUUUGGAAACUGGAGGACUGGAGAGCAGGAGAGGGCGGUGGAACUCCAUGUGUAGCGGUAAAAUGCGUAGAUAUAUGGAAGAACACCAGUGGCGAAGGCGGCCGCCUGGCCUGUUGCUGACGCUGAGGCACGAAAGCGUGGGGAGCAAAUAGGAUUAGAUACCCUAGUAGUCCACGCCGUAAACGAUGAGGACCAAGUGUUGGGGGUGA